ACUUCAGGGGUGCAUGGCGCCUCAGUGUUGUGUGCCCAAAUGUGCGUCCUCAAAGAGAAAAAAUCCUACCGUGGACAGACUUUCCACCGUUUCCCCAAAGAGCAGGCACUUCGCCGUGAAUGGAUAAAUCACGUCAAAAGGGAUCCUGGUCCAUAAUUCAAGAUCAACGCUGAGACCAAGGUUUGCUCUGAGCACUUUGAGAAGCAGUGUUUUGUAAAGACCGCCCGUGGUAUCACAGAGCUUAUAAAGGAUGCUGUGGCAACUUUGUUCGCCUGGACUUCAGAGAGGCCAAAGAGGAGAAUCAUCAUUCGCAGACCGAGUACGGAUUCCAUGGAGGUGGAUGAAAACCAGCCUGAUGUGAGAAGGGAUGCCUUGAGCACAGAUGUACCUCCUCCACAGCCAUACCAUGAUUAUGCUGUUCCACCGCUGACACCAGAGGGACAACUUGAGGCGGCACGCAAGCACAUCAUAGAGCAAGACAAGUUAAUAGCACAACUUAAAGGGACACUGUGUGAGAUUUUUAUUUGUUUAUUUCCAGAAUGCAUGCUGCCCAUUCACUAAUGUUAACUUUUUCAUGAAUACUUACCACCAGCAUCAAAUUCUAA
Molecule: long non-coding RNA, 605 nt
Organism: Engraulis encrasicolus (European anchovy)
Lineage: Eukaryota; Metazoa; Chordata; Actinopteri; Clupeiformes; Engraulidae
Exons: 4
Source: RefSeq, a predicted model, not a curated record